This 253-nucleotide ribosomal RNA is filed under the name uncultured bacterium. RNAcentral describes it as "partial 16S ribosomal RNA". It matches the Rfam family "Bacterial small subunit ribosomal RNA", at positions 524 to 776 of the family's 1533-position model. The record is from RNAcentral.
UACAGAGGGUGCUAGCGUUGUUCGGAAUCAUUGGGCGUAAAGGGCGUGUAGGCGGUUUGUUAAGUCAUGUGUGAAAUCCCUCGGCUCAACCGGGGAACGACGCAUGAAACUGGCAAGCUAGAGUACCAAAGAGGGGGGUGGAAUUCCCGGUGUAGCGGUGAAAUGCGUAGAUAUCGUGAGGAACACCUGUGGCGAAGGCGGCCCCCUGGUUGGAUACUGACGCUGAUACGCGAAAGCGUGGGGAGCAAACAGG